RNAcentral lists this small nuclear RNA (155 nucleotides) under Lachancea kluyveri NRRL Y-12651. RNAcentral's name for it is "U4 spliceosomal RNA". It matches the Rfam family "U4 spliceosomal RNA". From Rfam's summary of the family: U4 small nuclear RNA (U4 snRNA) is a component of the major U2-dependent spliceosome. The record is from Rfam by way of RNAcentral. Lineage: Eukaryota; Fungi; Ascomycota; Saccharomycetes; Saccharomycetales; Saccharomycetaceae.
AUCCUUAUGCACGGGAAAUACGCAUAUCAGUGAGGAUUCGUCCGAGAUUGUGUUAUUGCUGGUUGAAAUUUUUAACCUGACCGCUCCUCAUAGUUUAAUGUGUCUUUUUUACACUAUAUGGCUAUGCAGGGAAUUUUUGGAAUUAUCCUCUGAUG